This 468-nucleotide ribosomal RNA is filed under the name uncultured bacterium. RNAcentral describes it as "partial 16S ribosomal RNA". It matches the Rfam family "Bacterial small subunit ribosomal RNA", at positions 28 to 507 of the family's 1533-position model. The record is from RNAcentral.
GACGAACGCUGGCGGCGUGCUUAACACAUGCAAGUCGAACGGAAAGGCCCUGCUUUUGUGGGGUGCUCGAGUGGCGAACGGGUGAGUAACACGUGAGUAACCUGCCCUUGACUUUGGGAUAACUUCAGGAAACUGGGGCUAAUACCGGAUAGGAGCUCCUGCUGCAUGGUGGGGGUUGGAAAGUUUCGGCGGUUGGGGAUGGACUCGCGGCUUAUUAGCUUGUUGGUGGGGUAGUGGCUUACCAAGGCUUUGACGGGUAGCCGGCCUGUGAGGGUGGCCGGCCACAUUGGGACUGAGAUACGGCCCGGACUCCUACGGGAGGCAGCAGUGGGGAAUAUUGCACAAUGGGCGGAAGCCUGAUGCAGCAACGCCGCGUGCGGGAUGACGGCCUUCGGGUUGUAAACCGCUUUCGCCUGUGACGAAGCGUGAGUGACGGUAAUGGGUAAAGAAGCACCGGCUAACUACGUG